AGUUGGGAUUGUAAUUUAGAAAUUAGGAUAGCAAGAGUUUUUGUUGAUGUAUGGACAUUUUUUUGAUUAUUUGAUCAAUAGACAUUCUUUUAAAUUUUUUUUUUAAAACUGCUAUUUUGGAAAAGUUAUCAUUUUUCCUAAAACAAUAUUGUAGAUUUGGGAUUUUAAUUUAUAAAUUAGGACAACAAGAGUUUUUUUUGAUAUAUGAACAUUUUUUAAGAAUUUUAGGUUAUAUUUUUUAAAUAAAUUUUCUAAAAACUUCUAUUUUAGGAAAGUUAUCAUUUUUGUAGAGAAUAUUGUAGAUUUGAAAUUUUGAUUCCGAAAUUGGGAUAACAAGAGUUUUUUUAUUUAUGGAUGGGUAUAUUUUGAGAAAUUUUGAUCAAUAGGUGGCUUUUUAAAAAUAAACUUUCUAAAAACUUUUAUUUAAGAAAAUUUAUAAUUUUGUAGAGAAAUAUUGUAGAUUUUGGAUUGUAAUUUAGAAAUUAGGAUAGUAAGAGUUUUGACUGAUAGAUGACAUUUUUUUAGAUUAUUAGAUCAAUAGGUUUAAUUUUUAAAUAAAUUUUCUAAAACUGAUAUUUUUGGAAAGUUAUCAUUUUUCUAGAGAAAUAUUAUAUCUUUGGGAGUGUAAUUUAUAAAUUAGGAUAACAAGAGUUUUUGUUGAUAUAUGGACAUGUUUUAAGAUUACUUGAUCAAUAGGCAUUGUUUUAAAAAAAAAUUAAAAACCUCAUAUUUUGGGAUAGUUAUCGUUUUUGCGUAAAAAAUAUUGUAGAUUUGCGAAUGUAAUUUUGAAAUUAGGAUAACCAUAGUUUUUGUUGAUAGAUGUGCAUUUUUGUAAGAUUUUUUUUUAUCAUUAGGUUAUAUUCUUUAAAUAAAUUUUCUAAAAAAUUAUACUUUAGGAAAUUUAUCAUUUUUGUAGAAAAAUAUUGUAGAUUUGAAAUUUUAAUUCAGAAAUUGGAAAUUGGGAUAAUAAGAGUUUUUGUUUAUGGAUGGGCAUAUUUUUAGAAUUUUUGAUCAAUAGGUGGCUUUUUAAAAAUAAACUUUCUAAAAACUAUUAUUUUAGGAAAUUUAUAAUUUUGUAGAUAAAUAUUGUAGAUUUUGUAUUUUAAUUUAGAAAUUAGGAUAACAAGAGCUUUGGUUGAUAGAUGACAUUUUUUUAGAUUAUUAGAUCAAUAGGUUUAAUUUUAAAUAAAUUUUCUAAAAUUGCUAUUUCGGGAAAGUUGUUAUUUUUGUAAAGAAAGAUUAUAUCUUUGGGAUUGUAAUUUAUAAAUUAGGAUAACAAAAUUUUUUGUUUAUAUAUGGCAUUUUUAAGAUUAUUUGAUCAAUAUGCAUUCUUUUUUAAAAAAGAAUUUAAAAAAAACUGCUAUUUUGGGAAAGUUAUCGUUUAUGCAUAAAAAAUAUUGUAGAUUUGAGAAUGUAAUUUUGAAAUUAGGAUAACAAGAGUUUUUGUUGAUAGAUGUGUAUUUUUUAAGAAUUUUUUUAUAAUUAGGUUAUAUUUUUUAAAUAAAUUUUCUAAAAACUUCUAUUUUAGGAAAUUUAUCAUUUUUGUUGAGAAAUAUUGUAGAUUUGAGAUUUUGAUUCAGAAAUUGGGAUAACAAGAGUUUUUUUUAUGGAUGGGCAUAUUUUUAGAAUUUUUGAUCAAUAGGUGGCUUUUCAAAAAUAAACUUUCUAAAAACUAUCAUUUUAGGAAAAUUAUAAUUUUGUAGAGAAGUAAUGUAGAUUUUGGAUUGUAAUUUAGAAAUUAGGAUAACAAGAGUUUUUGUUGAUAGAUGACAUUCUUUUAGUUUAUUUAAUCAAUAGGUUCAAUUUUUAAAUAAAUGUUCUAAAACUUCUAUUUUGGGAAAGUUAUCAUUUUUGUAGAAAAAGAUUAUAGAUUUGGGAUUGUAAUUUAGAAAUUAGGAUAACAAGAGUGUUUGUUGAUAUAUGGACAUUUUUUUUGAUUAUUUGAUCAAUAUGUUCAAUUUUUAAAUAAAAUUUUCUAAAACUGCUAUUUUGGGAAAAUUAUCAUUUUUGUAAAGAAAGAUUAUUGAUUUGGAAUUGUAAUUUAGAAAUUUGGAUAACAAGAGUGUUUGUUGAUAUAUGGACAUUCUCUUUGAUUAUUUGAUCUACAGGUUCUAUUUUUAAAUAAAAAUAUCUAAAACUGCUAUUUUGGGAAAAUUAUCAAUUUUGUAAAGAAAGAUUAUAGAUUUAGGAUUGUAAUUUACAAAUUAGGAUUACAAGAGUUUUUGUUGAUAUAUAGACAUUCUUUUAGAUUAUCUGAUCAAUAGACAUUCUUUUUAAUUUUUUUUUUAAAAAACUGCUAUUUUGAGAAAGUUAUCGUUUUUGCAUAAAAAAUAUUGUAGUUUUGGGAUUGUAAUUUAGAAAUUAGGAUAACAAGAGUUUUUGUUGAUAUAUGGACAUUUUUUGAUUAUUUGAUGAAUAGACAUUCUUUUUAAAUAUUUUUUUUUAAAAACUGCUAUUUUGGGAAAGUUAUCAUUUUUCCUAAACAAUAUUAUAGAUUUGUGAUUAUAAUUUAGGAAUUAGGAUAACAAGAGUUUUUUUGGAUAUAUGGACAUUUUUUAAGAAUUUUUUAUCAUUAGGUUAUAUUUUUAAAAAUAAAAUUUCAAAAAACUUCUAGUGUAGGAAAGUUAUCAUUUUUCUAGAGAAAUAUUGUAGAUUUGAAAUUUUGAUUCAGAAAUUGGGAUAACAAGAGUUUUUUUUUUAUGGAUGGGCAUAUUUUUAGAAUUUUUGAUCAAUAGGUGGCUUUU
This 2744-nucleotide long non-coding RNA is filed under the name Brassica napus (rape). Its description in RNAcentral is "long non-coding RNA (BNAP_LNC005608)". The record is from RNAcentral. Lineage: Eukaryota; Viridiplantae; Streptophyta; Magnoliopsida; Brassicales; Brassicaceae.